GGUGUGUGUGAGUGUGAAUGUGAGCAAGAGGGUGAGUGUGGGCAAAGCUACUCCACCCCCAGACUGCAAUGCUACCAAUAAAGCCACCUGGUGUUUACAAUUAAUUGAUCACAACCAGUUACAGAUUUCUUUGUUCUUUCUUCAUUCUCACUGCUUUACUUGACUAGCCAAAA
This 173-nucleotide small RNA is filed under the name Saimiri boliviensis boliviensis (Bolivian squirrel monkey). RNAcentral's name for it is "Y RNA (ENSSBOG00000011345.1)". Lineage: Eukaryota; Metazoa; Chordata; Mammalia; Primates; Cebidae. The record is from RNAcentral.